AGAGUUUGAUCAUGGCUCAGAACGAACGCUGGCGGCAGGCUUAACACAUGCAAGUCGAGCUCACCUUCGGGUGAGCGGCGGACGGGUUAGUAACGCGUGGGAACGUACCCUUUUCUAAGGAAUAGUCACUGGAAACGGUGGGUAAUACCUUAUACGCCCUUCGGGGGAAAGAUUUAUCGGAGAAGGAUCGGCCCGCGUUAGAUUAGAUAGUUGGUGGGGUAAUGGCCUACCAAGUCUACGAUCUAUAGCUGGUUUUAGAGGAUGAUCAGCAACACUGGGACUGAGACACGGCCCAGACUCCUACGGGAGGCAGCAGUGGGGAAUCUUGGACAAUGGGGGCAACCCUGAUCCAGCCAUGCCGCGUGAGUGAAGAAGGCCUUCGGGUUGUAAAGCUCUUUCAGUCGGGAAGAAACGGAGCGCUCUAACAUAGCGCUCUACUGACGGUACCGACAGAAGAAGCACCGGCUAACUACGUGCCAGCAGC
RNAcentral lists this ribosomal RNA (484 nucleotides) under uncultured Paracoccaceae bacterium. RNAcentral's name for it is "bacterial SSU rRNA". It matches the Rfam family "Bacterial small subunit ribosomal RNA", at positions 8 to 515 of the family's 1533-position model. Lineage: Bacteria; Pseudomonadati; Pseudomonadota; Alphaproteobacteria; Rhodobacterales; Paracoccaceae. The record is from RNAcentral.